Long non-coding RNA from Alosa sapidissima (American shad), 121 nucleotides. RefSeq lists it as uncharacterized. The transcript is spliced from 3 exons. The record is from RefSeq and is a predicted model, not a curated record. NCBI's taxonomy places the organism in Eukaryota, Metazoa, Chordata, Actinopteri, Clupeiformes, Clupeidae.
UAUGAUGGUCAGGUGCUUAUGGUGAUUAAGGUCAGGUGUGAUGGAGAUCAGGUGUGAUGGUGUUUAUGAUGGUCAGGUGUGAUGGUAAUUAAGGUCAGGUGUUUAUGGUGAUUAUGAUGGU